This 443-nucleotide ribosomal RNA is filed under the name uncultured bacterium. RNAcentral describes it as "partial 16S ribosomal RNA". It matches the Rfam family "Bacterial small subunit ribosomal RNA", at positions 338 to 795 of the family's 1533-position model. The record is from RNAcentral.
CCUACGGGUGGCUGCAGUGGGGAAUAUUGGGCAAUGGAGGCAACUCUGACCCAGCAACGCCGCGUGAAUGAUGAAGGUCUUCGGCUUGUAAAGUUCUGUGAUGGGGGAUGAACACAAUGACGGUACCCCAAUAGCAAGCCACGGCUAACUACGUGCCAGCAGCCGCGGUAAUACGUAGGUGGCAAGCGUUAUCCGGAAGGACUGGGCGGAAAGGGGGCGUAGGUGGUUAAGUAAGUUAGCGGUGAAACUCCGGGGCUCAACCUCGGCGCUACCGCCAAAACUAUUAGACUAGAGUGCAGGAGGGGUAAGUGGAAUUCCUAGUGUAGCGGUGGAAUGCGUAGAUAUUAGGAGGAACACCAGGGGCGAAGGCGACUUACUGGACUGUAACUGACGCUGAGGCACGAAAGCGUGGGGAGCAAACAGGAUUAGAUACCCGUGUAGUC